RNAcentral lists this ribosomal RNA (482 nucleotides) under uncultured bacterium. RNAcentral describes it as "partial 16S ribosomal RNA". It matches the Rfam family "Bacterial small subunit ribosomal RNA", at positions 30 to 507 of the family's 1533-position model. The record is from RNAcentral.
AUUGAACGCUGGCGGCAUGCCUUACACAUGCAAGUCGAACGGUAACGGGCCUUCGGGUGCCGACGAGUGGCGAACGGGUGAGUAAUACAUCGGAACGUGCCCGAUCGUGGGGGAUAACGAGGCGAAAGCUUUGCUAAUACCGCAUACGAUCUACGGAUGAAAGCUGGGGACCGCAAGGCCUUGCGCGGACGGAGCGGCCGAUGGCAGAUUAGGUAGUUGGUGGGAUAAAAGCUUACCAAGCCGACGAUCUGUAGCUGGUCUGAGAGGAUGAUCAGCCACACUGGGACUGAGACACGGCCCAGACUCCUACGGGAGGCAGCAGUGGGGAAUUUUGGACAAUGGGCGCAAGCCUGAUCCAGCCAUGCCGCGUGCAGGAUGAAGGCCUUCGGGUUGUAAACUGCUUUUGUACGGAACGAAAAGCCUUCUUUUAAUACAGGAGGGUCAUGACGGUACCGUAAGAAUAAGCACCGGCUAACUACGUG